This 788-nucleotide unclassified non-coding RNA is filed under the name Hevea brasiliensis (rubber tree). The record is from RNAcentral. Lineage: Eukaryota; Viridiplantae; Streptophyta; Magnoliopsida; Malpighiales; Euphorbiaceae.
GAAAGGCAAGAGCAACUUGAAUCCAAAACUCAACUCAAUUGAUGCCAGGAGACUAAUGUUGAAGGAUCGGAACUAGAAACUUUGAUUGAAUUUCCUUUUGUUAUGAUGGGAGAUUGAAGAGUUUGAAGAAUGUGUCAAAGGGAACGAAACGACAAAUAUGAUGCCAUGGAGAUUUCAGUGGUAGUUGACGAAAAACAAUCCAUGGAUACAGUAACAGAGAUCGAAGAAACUCUAAUCAUGGGGUUGAUGGAAGUUGAAGAUCUAUAUAACUAUUUAAUUCCUAUGGUUUUUGUUGAUUUUAUUUGCCAGGUAACCACGUAGAGACACAAGAAAAGAUGAAGUUUCUCAAUUCCAUUUUGUUCAAAUCCACCUUAUUUAUACUGUUCAAGAGGGCUAUAGGGGGUACUCUUUCGAAAAAGUUUUUUAUUCUUCAACAUUUUAAAGUCCGAGGACAAAUUUAUUUCAAGUGGGAAAGAUUAGCGUGGAAAGAUUCUAACUCGAGGACGAGUUUUCUCUAAGUGGGGGAGUAUGACGUGGUGCUGUGAGGGUCCAAAACAGGAGAAUUUUGUCUUGACAGAAUAGUACACACCCCCAGGGCAUGUAGUUCUUUGUCCAGCAAUGUAACACAGGAUUUUUCAAUCUAUAUUUCUUCUCUAUGCUGUCCAAGAUACAUUAUAUUUCCUAUUUUGUUAAGAGAAGGCUGCAAAUUUAGUUUUCUAGGUGUUUUUGAUGCGGGGCUUGGACAACAAGGCUAAACGAUUUUCUUUUUAACUAAUUUUAAUUUUCAA